RNAcentral lists this ribosomal RNA (885 nucleotides) under uncultured bacterium. Its description in RNAcentral is "bacterial SSU rRNA". It matches the Rfam family "Bacterial small subunit ribosomal RNA", at positions 8 to 900 of the family's 1533-position model. The record is from RNAcentral.
AGAGUUUGAUCCUGGCUCAGGAUGAACGCUAGCGGCAGGCUUAACACAUGCAAGUCGAGGGGUAUAGUUCUUCGGAAUUAGAGACCGGCGCACGGGUGCGUAACGCGUAUGCAAUCUACCUUUUACAGAGGGAUAGCCCAGAGAAAUUUGGAUUAAUACCUCAUAGUAUAGAUCAACCGCAUGGUUGGCCUAUUAAAGUCACAACGGUAAAAGAUGAGCAUGCGUCCCAUUAGCUAGUUGGUAAGGUAACGGCUUACCAAGGCGACGAUGGGUAGGGGUCCUGAGAGGGAGAUCCCCCACACUGGUACUGAGACACGGACCAGACUCCUACGGGAGGCAGCAGUGAGGAAUAUUGGACAAUGGGCGCAAGCCUGAUCCAGCCAUGCCGCGUGCAGGAUGACGGUCCUAUGGAUUGUAAACUGCUUUUGCACAGGAAGAAACAACUCUACGUGUAGAGUCUUGACGGUACUGUGAGAAUAAGGAUCGGCUAACUCCGUGCCAGCAGCCGCGGUAAUACGGAGGAUCCAAGCGUUAUCCGGAAUCAUUGGGUUUAAAGGGUCCGUAGGCGGUUUAGUAAGUCAGUGGUGAAAGCCCAUCGCUCAACGGUGGAACGGCCAUUGAUACUGCUAGACUUGAAUUAUUAGGAAGUAACUAGAAUAUGUAGUGUAGCGGUGAAAUGCUUAGAGAUUACAUGGAAUACCAAUUGCGAAGGCAGGUUACUACUAAUGGAUUGACGCUGAUGGACGAAAGCGUGGGUAGCGAACAGGAUUAGAUACCCUGGUAGUCCACGCCGUAAACGAUGGAUACUAGCUGUUGGGAGCGAUCUCAGUGGCUAAGCGAAAGUGAUAAGUAUCCCACCUGGGGAGUACGUCCCAAGAAUGAAAC